RNAcentral lists this long non-coding RNA (258 nucleotides) under Elaeis guineensis (African oil palm). RNAcentral describes it as "long non-coding RNA (EGUI_LNC039036)". Lineage: Eukaryota; Viridiplantae; Streptophyta; Magnoliopsida; Arecales; Arecaceae. The record is from RNAcentral.
UUGUAAGGAUACAGAAGUUGAAUGCACUGGUAUACCAGAAACAAGUUCCGAGAAGAAAGAAAUCAUAGCUAGUGAAAAUAAGUCCGAUGGUGGGAGUGAUAGUGGUGGGAAGGAAGAAGGGAAGGCAACAGAUGUGGCAAUGGAUGAAGUAAAUGUGGCUGAAGCAAUGGAUGAAGUAAAUGUAGCUGAGCAGGCUCUGGAUCACCAGCAUGAGUCGGUCAAGGAAUUUGAAGAGAAGAAAAGAGAGGAGGGAGAAGG